This 513-nucleotide ribosomal RNA is filed under the name uncultured microorganism. RNAcentral describes it as "bacterial SSU rRNA". It matches the Rfam family "Bacterial small subunit ribosomal RNA", at positions 9 to 504 of the family's 1533-position model. The record is from RNAcentral.
GAGUUUGAUCUUGGCUCAGGAUGAACGCUGGCGGCGUGCCUAAUACAUGCAAGUCGAGCGAACGGACGAGAAGCUUGCUUCUCUGAUGUUAGCGGCGGACGGGUGAGUAACACGUGGAUAACCUACCUAUAAGACUGGGAUAACUUCGGGAAACCGGAGCUAAUACCGGAUAAUAUUUUGAACCGCAUGGUUCAAAAGUGAAAGACGGUCUUGCUGUCACUUAUAGAUGGAUCCGCGCUGCAUUAGCUAGUUGGUAAGGUGACGGCUUACCAAGGCAACGAUGCAUAGCCGACCUGAGAGGGUGAUCGGCCACACUGGAACUGAGACACGGUCCAGACUCCUACGGGAGGCAGCAGUAGGGAAUCUUCCGCAAUGGGCGAAAGCCUGACGGAGCAACGCCGCGUGAGUGAUGAAGGUCUUCGGAUCGUAAAACUCUGUUAUUAGGGAAGAACAUAUGUGUAAGUAACUGUGCACAUCUUGACGGUACCUAAUCAGAAAGCCACGGCUAACUAC